Molecule: ribosomal RNA, 425 nt
Filed under: uncultured bacterium
Lineage: Bacteria
Description: bacterial SSU rRNA
Rfam family: Bacterial small subunit ribosomal RNA
Source: RNAcentral
GUUAGGAAUAUUGGACAAUGGGCGCAAGCCUGAUCCAGCCAUGCCGCGUGAGUGAUGAAGGCCUUCGGGUUGUAAAGCUCUUUAGCCGAUGAUUAUAAUGACUGUAGUCGGAAAAUAAGCCCCGGCUAACUUCGUGCCAGCAGCCGCGGUAAUACGAAGGGGGCGAGCGUUAUUCGGAAUCACUGGGCGUAAAGCGUGCGUAGGCGGCUUUGCAAGUUGGGAGUGAAAGCCAAGGGCUCAACCAUAGAAUUGCUCUCAAAACUGCAAGGCUCGAAUUCGGGAGAGGAUAGCGGAAUUGUCAGUGUAGCAGUGAAAUGCGUAGAUAUUGACAGGAACACCAGUGGCGUAAGCGGCUAUCUGGACCGAUAUUGACGCUGAGGCACGAAAGCGUGGUGAUCAAACAGGAUUAGAAACCCUGGUAGUCC